Long non-coding RNA from Dendrobium catenatum, 385 nucleotides. RefSeq lists it as uncharacterized. The record is from RefSeq and is a predicted model, not a curated record. The transcript has 3 exons. NCBI's taxonomy places the organism in Eukaryota, Viridiplantae, Streptophyta, Magnoliopsida, Asparagales, Orchidaceae.
GGUUUUAAACGAUUUCGGAUAAAAAAUCCAAUCGAUUGGAAGCGCUCCAGGUCCGUUCAUAGUCUAGUCAAUCAGCGAUAACGGAUCUUAGCUUAAGGGCGGCGAACUUGUCGGCGCUGCUACACUUGGCCCGUUCGUUCCAAGGGCUCCCAAAUAGGUCUCAUCGCUACAGAAACCUAGAAAAUUAUGAAGAAGAAAAAACCAUCUCUCUCCAACGGGCAAGUAUUUAGCACCUCAACUGGCGUGUUCGAGCAGAUGUUGCGGCAACUGGGAGACCACUCAGUCGAAUUCCAACUUCCACACUGGCUUAAGCAGCAGAAGUCGUCAAUGCCUUACACCUUCAUCAAGCGCAAUAUCUAUCUCACCAAAAGAAUCAAACGCCGUG